ACAUAUAUAAAAUUGUAUAAUUAGCGUAAAAGACUGCGAGACAAUAUCCCACUGAGAGGGCGUGCCAAGCUCAUAAAACAAAAAACCCAAAAUUGGGUGUCUGUGUCUGCAUCGGGAUCGGAUCGUGGGAUCUGUUUCAAAGCACAUAAUAUGUCAUGUCUAAGGCUAAGUGCUACGGUUUUGGCAGCUUGUAGCUUCACUUAUUUUUGUGUGACUCUUUUUUGAGUAAUGCGCCUUGUCGGUUCAAAUUGGUUGUUAAAACUUUGUGCGACAAAAAAAAAAACAUGUAUUUCAUUUAAUAACUAUUGCAGUCCGUUUAGAAAAGUAUAAAAAGUUGCAGCAUGGCUCUAAGCAGCAACAGUUCAUCAACAGCCAGGUUUCAGUGCAAAGCUCCUUUAAAGCGAGAAGAAUAAAACUAAAUUUACAAAAUGCACUCCAUUGCUAUCAUUGCUCUGCUCGCUGCUGCUGCGUUGUGUGCUGCUGAUGUCUCGCAUUUGUCGCUUUCGGGCGGCUACUUGCCACCACUGAGUGGUGGUGUCGGUGGCUAUUCGGGCUAUAACGGGUAUUCAUCGUAUCCCACUUACUCCAGCGCUGGAUACUACAGUGGCGCAGGUCUGAGCGCCGGCUAUGGAGCACCACUGCUCUCUGGUGGCUACAACAGCUACAACAACUACAACAGCUAUGCUGCAGUGCCGCAGUACAACAACUAUGUGACCCCAUCGCGUGCCUAUUUGCCUGCCUACAAUAGCGGUGGAUACAGAGGCACUAAAUAUGGCGCCAAUGGUGGUUAUAUCUACUAGGGAUAGCUUAAAAUGGAAUGCUUGGCUACAUAUAUGCAAACGAACAUACAGAUACAUACACAUAUGGCCAACAUAAAUCCACAGGAGUGGUGGCUGCCAAAGAAAGCAAAAAUAAUCACAGAGAUUACAGUGUGCGCUCUCUAUGAGCGCUAUGAACUUGCAGAUAUGACCUGAGACUCUCAGCGCCCGAGUUCGAGCCAACUCCCUACUCCAAUUGGUGUAGACACCUGGACAACUGGAGCUAGCCACAGUCGACUCCCAUGCCAUGAUUUAUUUCUAGAAGAGAAUUUGACAUCUCUCUGGCUGCAUGUCACUAAUUCCAGGACUUAUUGCAACAGACUUCACCGCUGGACAAGA
Molecule: RNA transcript, 1157 nt
Organism: Drosophila busckii
Lineage: Eukaryota; Metazoa; Arthropoda; Insecta; Diptera; Drosophilidae
Gene name: pupal cuticle protein Edg-91
Exons: 4
Source: RefSeq, a predicted model, not a curated record